RNAcentral lists this ribosomal RNA (253 nucleotides) under uncultured bacterium. RNAcentral describes it as "partial 16S ribosomal RNA". It matches the Rfam family "Bacterial small subunit ribosomal RNA", at positions 524 to 776 of the family's 1533-position model. The record is from RNAcentral.
UACGUAGGGGGCAAGCGUUGUCCGGAUUUAUUGGGCGUAAAGAGCGUGUAGGCGGCUAGGUAGGUCCGUUGUGAAAACUCGAGGCUCAACCUCGAGACGCCGAUGGAAACCAUCUAGCUAGAGUCCGGAAGAGGAGAGUGGAAUUCCUGGUGUAGCGGUGAAAUGCGCGGAUAUCAGGAAGAACACCCGUGGCUAAGGCGGCUCUCUAGUACGGUACUGACGCUGAGACGCGAAAGCGUGGGGAGCGAGCAGG